GCCUUCGUGGUGUAAUGAUCAGCACACUCGACGCGUAAUUGAGAAAUCCGAGGUUCGAGUCUCGGCGAGGGCA
This is a non-coding RNA of Stegodyphus mimosarum, 73 nucleotides long. Lineage: Eukaryota; Metazoa; Arthropoda; Arachnida; Araneae; Eresidae. The record is from Rfam.